UGAGCCACUGAGUUAUGAAUCCUGC
Molecule: non-coding RNA, 25 nt
Filed under: Rattus norvegicus (Norway rat)
Lineage: Eukaryota; Metazoa; Chordata; Mammalia; Rodentia; Muridae
Source: RNAcentral